GAUGAACGCUGGCGGCGUGCCUAAUACAUGCAAGUCGAGCGAACGGACGAGAAGCUUGCUUCUCUGAUGUUAGCGGCGGACGGGUGAGUAACACGUGGAUAACCUACCUAUAAGACUGGGAUAACUUCGGGAAACCGGAGCUAAUACCGGAUAAUAUUUUGUACCGCAUGGUUCAAAAGUGAAAGACGGUCUUGCUGUCACUUAUAGAUGGAUCCGCGCUGCAUUAGCUAGUUGGUAAGGUAACGGCUUACCAAGGCAACGAUGCAUAGCCGACCUGAGAGGGUGAUCGGCCACACUGGAACUGAGACACGGUCCAGACUCCUACGGGAGGCAGCAGUAGGGAAUCUUCCGCAAUGGGCGAAAGCCUGACGGAGCAACGCCGCGUGAGCGAUGAAGGUCUUCGGAUCGUAAAACUCUGUUAUUAGGGAAGAACAUAUGUGUAAGUAACUGUGCACAUCUUGACGGUACCUAAUCAGAAAGCCACGGCUAACUACGUG
This 497-nucleotide ribosomal RNA is filed under the name uncultured bacterium. Its description in RNAcentral is "partial 16S ribosomal RNA". It matches the Rfam family "Bacterial small subunit ribosomal RNA", at positions 28 to 507 of the family's 1533-position model. The record is from RNAcentral.